RNAcentral lists this long non-coding RNA (1161 nucleotides) under Pogona vitticeps (central bearded dragon). RNAcentral's name for it is "lncRNA (ENSPVIG00000025483.1)". Lineage: Eukaryota; Metazoa; Chordata; Lepidosauria; Squamata; Agamidae. The record is from RNAcentral.
AUUUAUUUAUUUAUUUAAUUUAAAAUAUUUUUAUCCCACCUCUCUCCUUAAAAAGGACCCAAGGCAGUUUACGUAGUUUAAAAGGCAAUAUUCAAAAGUUGCAGUAAAUAAAAUCAAUACUAAAAGAAAUUUAAAAUCACGGAGCAUAACAACCCAUUUUCAAAUGGGUUGUUACAACUUAUUCUAGUUUCAACUUGCAACACAAAGCAACAGGAUUUCACUAUACAUCAUUGUUUACUGCUUUUAUUUACUAUGCUGCCACAAGAAGGAAAGUAUUAUGUACAACAUUCUCCCAACACUGCCUGUGUCAUUGCAGAAUAGCAUACAUUAUGCUUUAAUGUUCUAGAAUCACCUGUUUGCAUCUUCUGCUAGUUUCUGUCUUCCACUUCUGCCAUAUUUGAGUCUGGAUUGUAUUGGUCCACCAUUGUCUACCAGGCUUUUGAAUGGUUAAAGUCCUCUCAUGGACAAGAAUGGGCUUAUUUUCUCAAAAAUAAAUUUAAUAUGGGGAUUCUUAUCUUCUCACUUUCCAUGGUAUGAGUCUGAUAUAUCAUGGGAACAAAGACAUGAUUCUGGGGCAAAUUACUCAUUUGUUUAUCUUGGGGUUUGAUUGCAGAUCUACUCUACUCUACCUAAGUAAACAUCUUAUGAUUUCUUCUGUAGUGGCAGUGGCUGAAAUGCGGCAGAUGAAAGCAUUGUUUGUUUUAAUUUCUUUUCUUUUCAAGUGUCAAAAUAAUGCAAUGUUUCCUGCUGUUCCAGAACAAGAGAGGCUUGUCUGACAGCACAUAAACUGUAAUUAUUGUUCCAUGCAUAGGUAGUGUGAUGCUGGGGCAUGUCUUUGGAAUGAAAGUUCAAAGCUGACCUUGAAUAUGAUUCAGAUUGCUGCCUCUGUUUUCCCCUGGCUCUUUAUGCUUAACAGUAAUGCUUCAGAUUUGUAUGACUUCUGCUACAUAGAAUAGACAACAAUCCCAGGUUUGCAUGAUUGAGUCAAGGGCUCACAGAUGGAGCCUUGCUUUUCUGAUAAACUAAUAACAAAGCUUCAGCAAAUGCAUACCUCACUAUUGAGGUUUUAGUACAUAACUGAACACAAGUGGCUUUUGUCAAUAUUCUUUUUUAAUUUACAAUUUCUGAUUAUUCUAAUUAGAAUAGAAAUCCUAGUCCCCA